GACGAACGCUGGCGGCGUGCCUAAUACAUGCAAGUCGAACGGAGUGGGGACGGGUGAGUAAAACGUGGGUAACCUCCCAUCAGAGGGGAUAACACUUGGCAACAGGUGCUAAACCGAUACGGAUGGAGGGACCCGCGGUGCAGUAGCUAGUUGGUGAGGUAACGGCUCAACAAGGCCACGAUGCAUAGCCGACCUGAGAGGGUGAUCGGCCACACUGGGACUGAGACACGGCCCAGACUCCUACGGGAGGCAGCAGUAGGGAAUCUUCGGCAAUGGACGAAAGUCUGACCGAGCAACGCCGCGUGAGUGAAGAAGGGUUUCGGAUCGUAAAACUCUGUUGUUAGAGAAGCGGUAUCUAACCAGAAAGCCACGGCUAACUACGUGCCAGCCGCCGCGGUAAUUC
RNAcentral lists this ribosomal RNA (403 nucleotides) under uncultured bacterium. Its description in RNAcentral is "partial 16S ribosomal RNA". It matches the Rfam family "Bacterial small subunit ribosomal RNA", at positions 28 to 526 of the family's 1533-position model. The record is from RNAcentral.